This 3662-nucleotide long non-coding RNA is filed under the name Fragaria vesca (wild strawberry). RNAcentral describes it as "long non-coding RNA (FVES_LNC004885)". Lineage: Eukaryota; Viridiplantae; Streptophyta; Magnoliopsida; Rosales; Rosaceae. The record is from RNAcentral.
GAAUAUAUUAAUUGUUUCGUCGGCUAAAGUCUGGGAAAAAAACCGACGAACAUGUUUUUCGUCGGCUAACUGUGGGACUAUAGCCGACGAAAAAAAAAAUUUCGUCGGCUAAUGUCAUCACCGACGACCUUUUCCCGACGACACUAUAGCCGACGAGCCUUCGUCGGCUAAGAUCUUAGCCGACGAAUUAAGAUAACAGGCCGACGAAAAUUUUUCGUCGGCUAAAGUGCUUGUCCUGGUAGUGCUAGCUUGAUUAUAAUAAGAAUUUUACCGUCUCUGUCAUUGAGUUAAUAGUUUAAUUGGUCCUUAGAGGGGUUUCGGGGACGAUUGUGUGCGGAGGAUUAUUUGUAGGAGAAAAAUUCGACGACGGUAAAAUUGGUAAAUUUUAGCUAGUAAAAAGUAAUUUUUAUUCGGGUAUUAUUUUUUCGGAGUGUUUUAUUUUUGGAUUUGGGUUGUAUAAGAGUGUGGACCGGGCCAAGGGGUGGCAAAAAGCCCAGCCCUCUCUUUUUUCUCUCUUCUUCUCUUUUCUCUUCCCCGGUUUUUCCCUCUCCCGACUUCUCCCGUUUCCGGUUCUUCUCCAGCCCCAGCUGCCGCCGUCCGGCCAGCCGCCGGCCGCCGCUCCACCCCAGUUCGGACCCCCAUCUCCUCCUCUCCCUCCCCGGCCUAGCCCCCAAGCCUCUAACCCGCCGGAAGAGGAGAAAACCCGCCGGAAACGCCGGGAAGCAUUUCGCCGGAACUCCCUCCUCCGGCCACCAAUCCAGGCAAGCUUGGUAUGGUUUUGUAGGUCUCCAACCCAGCUGCCUUGCCCUAAAAGGACUCACUCCGGUUUGCUUCAGGUAAGGAGAAAUUUGAGGUGGAAGCUCUAGGGCGUUUUUGAUAUUUUUGUUCGAUUGGCAUAGCUAGGCUUGGAUUUUGGGUUUGUGCUAGUUAGGAAAGUUGUAGAGCAUGAUGAGAGGAAGAUGCUGUUAAAAUUUCAUAGGAAUUGGAGGUCGCCGGAUUUGGCCUCCGGCCGCCGCUGCCGGCGGAGCCGCCGCCGGUUGGGAGAUUUUUAUGUUUUUAAAUGUGGAAUAUUAAGGGGAAUUUAUUGAAAUGAGUUUUGGAAUUUUUGGAUGAGUUUUGGUUAGGUUUAUGAUUUUCCGAAGUUUGGUAUUUUUGGCGGUUAAUUAAUGUAAAAUCCGGCCGUAGGAUUUAAGUCAUAUUCUGUGGGAAGUUGUUUUUACGGCUGCCGGUAUGUUCGGCGAAGUUUGAGCCGUAUUGAGUUAAGAAUGGCGAAUUUGGGCAAUGAUGAGUGUGUGGGAGGCUCACAUUUAAUUUUGCCUAUUUUGUUUAAAUAUUGGAUUUUAGUUGGGAAUUUAAUUAUAUAUUUGUGCCAGGGUUCGAGGAACCUCAUUGGAGUGGCAAUUUGGAUUUCGUCGGGCUUAUGCCUAGAGUUGUGAGUGGACUUUGUUUUUAAUUUGAAAGCAUGCGAUGCAUUAUGUUGUUGAUCAGAUAUUCUUCACCUGAGAUUUAUGAUUUUUCGGAUAAUUGGCAAUUUUCCUCCUUUGGAGAGAUCCCGAAAAUGGAAUUUUCGGUGGAUAUGAAUAUGUGUUUAUGAGAGAGUAUGUAUAUAAAUGCUAGCUAGCCCUAUGUGUCUGUCCACCUUAAUGGCGUAGCGUAUAGCCGCAUUAUGGUGUGACGUGAGCGUUGGACGCGAGCGUAGUAGCCCUAUAUGAGUGUUUAAUUCAUAUAGGGGGUAUGGGCACAUAUUUAUACACCCGUCUGUCCACCUUAAUGGCGUAGUGUAGCACCGCAUUAAGGCGUGACGUGAGCGUUGGACGCGAGCGUAGUAGCCCUAUAUAGACCCAUGAAUUUAUAUAGGGAGUAUGGACGUGUGUAAAUACAUACAUAUAUUAUAGAGCCUGAGAGGCUCGACAUUUAUGAGAUAAAAGUUUUAUCGCUAAUUGAUUUGGGAAAACAUAAAUAUUUUAUUCGUUAAUUUAUUUUUGUCCACUCACUCUAACGGUUUUCAAAUGUUUUCCCCUAGGCUCUUCGUUUUAAAAAUGCCCAGUUUGCAGGUUAGCAUAGUUGAGGUCGGGCGUACAUGGAGAAGAGGCAUAAUCAAUAGUUUAGCUUCCGCUUAUUUCUAAAUUUCUAGUUCAUUUCCUCUCAAUUAGAAUUGCUCUGAACUGUGAUGGUUGGUUGUGAGAUUAUUCUUUUAAAGUUAGUAAAUAAUUGGGAGAUGUUGUGAUUUGGGGAGCACGAAGGCUCCAGGAGUUUAAGGUUGGAUUUAAAUUUUCAGAAGUGUUUGCAGGUUUUAGGAAGGGUUGUCCAUUUUCAAGGGAGGUUAUGCCGAAUUUUCGGUAAACUUUCCUUGGAGGUGGUCCCCGCACGACUUACUCUGGGUUUCAGGGUGAAAUUUGGGGCGGGUCGUGUCAAUCAAUAUGGAACAUAUUUCUUUCGGUCAUUUCGGUCAUUAAGACCGAAAUAUUCAUUGAAUUAAAUUGGUUCUUUCCUUUCUAAAUCUUGUGUUUAUAAUAGUAUAAAUAUGAGGCGUAUAACUCAUUGUAAAGGGUCCUCGACCAACACAACUCACUUAAAUACAAUACACCAAAUUCUCUACAACAUCGAUCUUGUUAUCCUCAUUCUAGUCUAGUUUUCUUCUUCUUUUUAUCGCUUUCUUUAUAUUUAGCAAUUUAGUUUCAUACAAUUUACUCUUACGCGUCUUUAUGUUCCAUGUACUUUAAUUCCUCGCAAUUACUUUCCACUUUUUACUUUCCAACAAUUUGGAUUUUGUUAUUUUACUUUCCACACUAUAUUUCUCGCAAACUUAUACAAAAAUUCACAAAAAAAGAAGCAAUAUCGGUGAAAACGUCGAAAGUCCUUGCAACAAAGGCAAGAGAACCCAACGGCCGAGACGGUUUCUUCCUCGGCCUACAAUCACUUAAAAGAAGUCAGAUCAGACGCAAAAUAUUUAUCAAAAACCUCGCUUGGCCAACAUGCCGCAAGUUGGCACACCCACGCAAAUCAGAAAGAUGAUUGUUCUCAAGACCCUCGGCCCUCAUCUCAGUCAAGAUGAUUUUUGAGCAAACAUUUAUAGAGAAGGAGAAGGCAUUAUUGCCUACCACUAAUAGGAAUAGGAUUCCUAUUUGGUGAAAAAAUAUGAUGUCCUUAUGGCUAUAUGAGGAGGGGUUCAGCUCUAGUUUUGUAUUGCAGAGACGACGAGCAAAGUGUACCUCAUUCUUGGUUACAAGGUGAGAGAAGGCAGAGAGGAGAAAGAUAGGAAGAGAAGAGCUUUUUUUUUUUUUUUUUUUUUAUUCUUUCUGGUGUACCUAUUAUUAUUAUAGUGGAAGAGUGUUUUCUGUUGGUGGGCGUAGGCAAAAGUUUUGCUAACUCUUUUCUCUGGUUGUUUCUCUUGGUUUGUUGUGCAUGUUUGGGGUUUGGCACACAUAAUUGACCGAAUUCACAACAUGUUGCAUGUUCCCUUGUAAAUGUGGUUGAGCUCAACUUUCUCCCUAGAUCCGUUAUGCAGAGUUUUGCACCUAGCAAACAUGGCCCCCAAAGGGCGAAGUUAGACACUUAGACCUGCUCUUUGGAGGCACAUCAUGAUUUUGCCCCCUGAAAACUUUGUGUACCCCUGUCUAUUUCAUGUUUUCUGAGCAAUCAGCACUCACUUUACGUUUACA